UAGUAUUCAAUUGUCAGAGGUGAAAUNCUUGGAUUUAUUGAAGACUAACUACUGCGAAAGCAUUUGCCAAGGAUGUUUUCAUUAAUCAAGAACGAAAGUUAGGGGAUCGAAGACGAUCAGAUACCGUCGUAGUCUUAACCAUAAACUAUGCCGACUAGGGAUCGGAUGAUGUUAAUUUUCUAAUGACUCA
RNAcentral lists this ribosomal RNA (190 nucleotides) under uncultured Glomeromycotina. Its description in RNAcentral is "partial small subunit ribosomal RNA". It matches the Rfam family "Eukaryotic small subunit ribosomal RNA", at positions 892 to 1078 of the family's 1831-position model. The record is from RNAcentral. Lineage: Eukaryota; Fungi; Glomeromycota.